GGCGUUAUUUAGCUCUAUGAAUGAGGUACCGGUAUGAAGGAGAUGGGUGUGGGGAGUGCGGCUGAGAAGAAUUAACUUGCCUAACACCACCUAUUGAAUUCAUGACAAAGGUGAUAAGGGAAUAGAGAGCAUUGGCGAUAUUCUGUAUUGGUUUUGAGUAUAACUCCGGAAUAACAAAUGAGGAGAGUUCCUGCCACCUGAUGAACAGUAGCAAGAUUAUAAUCUGUUUGAAUGAAUCAGUUUCUUGGUGCUACCUACUAAUAAGGAGGAGAAGUUUGUAAGGAUGACCAUGAAUACCAUUUGCAGAUUGGACUCUGGUCCAUCCUGGCUGGUGAAAUCCAGCCAGGAACAGCUGCAAUCAAUACUGGCUGGGGUUAUCAAUGCCUCCCUAUAGUGCUUGUUGGCCUUAAAUAUGAAAUAGUUUGGCCUAU
Hemicordylus capensis (graceful crag lizard) is the source of this 431-nucleotide long non-coding RNA. RefSeq lists it as uncharacterized. NCBI's taxonomy places the organism in Eukaryota, Metazoa, Chordata, Lepidosauria, Squamata, Cordylidae. The record is from RefSeq and is a predicted model, not a curated record. The transcript is spliced from 3 exons.